UACGAAGGGGGCUAGCGUUGCUCGGAAUUACUGGGCGUAAAGCGCACGUAGGCGGAUUGUUAAGUCGGGGGUGAAAUCCCGGAGCUCAACUCCGGAACUGCCUUCGGUACUGACGAUCUUGAGUCCGGGAGAGGUGAGUGGAACUGCGAGUGUAGAGGUGAAAUUCGUAGAUAUUCGCAAGAACACCAGUGGCGAAGGCGGCUCACUGGCCCGGUACUGACGCUGAGGUGCGAAAGCGUGGGGAGCAAACAGG
RNAcentral lists this ribosomal RNA (253 nucleotides) under uncultured bacterium. Its description in RNAcentral is "partial 16S ribosomal RNA". It matches the Rfam family "Bacterial small subunit ribosomal RNA", at positions 524 to 776 of the family's 1533-position model. The record is from RNAcentral.